GGGGUGUGCUCAGAGCAGGGGGCCUGAAGAAUGCUUCCUCUGUUUACAAUACACCGAACAGGAAUCUGGGGUCAUUGUCACGAGGGGCACAAAACUUGUGACCUCUCUAUGAAGAAAUGCCCCACAUGC
This 129-nucleotide small nucleolar RNA is filed under the name Aotus nancymaae (Ma's night monkey). RNAcentral describes it as "Small nucleolar RNA SNORA11 (ENSANAG00000004008.1)". It matches the Rfam family "Small nucleolar RNA SNORA11". Rfam says of the family: U107 (SNORA11) is a member of the H/ACA class of snoRNAs that guide the sites of modification of uridines to pseudouridines. This snoRNA was identified by RT-PCR from blood cells and its expression confirmed by Northern blot analysis. There is no predicted target for this guide snRNA. The record is from Rfam by way of RNAcentral. Lineage: Eukaryota; Metazoa; Chordata; Mammalia; Primates; Aotidae.